RNAcentral lists this transfer RNA (75 nucleotides) under candidate division SR1 bacterium. Its description in RNAcentral is "tRNA-Val". It matches the Rfam family "tRNA". From Rfam's summary of the family: Transfer RNA (tRNA) molecules are approximately 80 nucleotides in length. Their secondary structure includes four short double-helical elements and three loops (D, anti-codon, and T loops). Further hydrogen bonds mediate the characteristic L-shaped molecular structure. tRNAs have two regions of fundamental functional importance: the anti-codon, which is responsible for specific mRNA codon recognition, and the 3' end, to which the tRNAs corresponding amino acid is attached (by aminoacyl-tRNA synthetases). tRNAs cope with the degeneracy of the genetic code in two manners: having more than one tRNA (with a specific anti-codon) for a particular amino acid; and 'wobble' base-pairing, i.e. permitting non-standard base-pairing at the 3rd anti-codon position. The record is from RNAcentral. Lineage: Bacteria; Candidatus Absconditibacteriota.
GGGUGAUUAGCUCAGUGGUAGAGCAUCUCAUUGACGUUGAGAGGGUCGGGGAUUCGAUCUCCUCAUCACCCACCA